AGGUCCACUUAUCAGCUCUAACAACCAGAGUUUAUCUUCCUGGUGCAUUUAGCAAAUAAUGAAAGUCCGACUGCUCUGCCGUCGGAAGUCCCGAUCCGCACGUACCUCUUCGUCGAUCCAUUCUUUCCCUCUCCGUGACUCCGUGUUCCCUUUUUUUCUCCGCCGCCGCCGCCCGCCCGCCAGCCUACGCCGCCCUCACGCCGGCUCGCGCGCCUGUCUGCAACCCCUACCUCCCGUGGCUGCUGCCUACUGCGCCGCAAACCCUAUCUCCCGCGGCCGCCGCCCAGCCCCCCCGUGCCGUCCGGCUCGUUGCCCAGGUCCCGUCCUCGACGCUUGCGCCGCUGCAGCUACCUUCUAAGUUCCAAUCUCCAGCGCCCUUUUUCGCCGCCGGCGGAGCACCCAGCUGCGACGCCCUUCGUCGCUGCCGAAGCCCCCAGCGCCACACUAAGCCGAUGCCGUGCGAGGGGAAAAUUCUAGGAUAGGAGGAAGGGGAUUGGGGCGAUGUUUAGGCGGGUGCUGCCUGCCUGCAUCCCUUCCGCUACUUCUGCCCCUCGCCACCUCCUUGCUGCCACGCGCGGGCACCAUUGAUGAGAGGAGAGCAGCGCCCUUCGCGGCUGGACCCGAUGUCCGUGUUGGCUGCGGCGCCCGUGGAUCCGCCCGGGGGUGGUGCCGCCUGGGCCAGCCCUACGGUUUGUACGGCGGUGGCAGGGCGAGGAAGAGGAAAGACAUUGUUUUGCCGGAGCCCGGAGGCGGCGGCUGAGGAGAGGCAUGGCGGUGGAGAGGACGGUGGCCAGGCGCAUGGGCUGUCGGUCACGGUGGUGGAGGAGGACAAGGAGGCAGAGGCGGAAGGAGAGCGGUAGUCCAUUGGCGUUGUGUCGGACGACGAGGCGGUGGAGGACGGGGAGGAGGAAGAAGGGCGCGUGCAGGCUCCCAUGCUUUGACGCCCUCGACGAUGGCCUCCCCAUUAAGUAAGCGGUGUUGAUAUUGGAAGCGGCAGGACUUAGCACUCACCAUCGACGGAUAUGUGGGAGAAAGACAGGAUAUACCUCUACUCGAUUUCGUGCAAGGAACCAACAAUUUGAUGUGGAAUCACUCAAAACGUUAGACCACUCGAGACCCAGAAUAUAAUUUUGCAUUUUCAGCACUUGAAUGUUAUCAUCCUUUUCUUUUGGUUCUACAGCUGCACAAUACUAAUUUGGUUUGCGAAAUCUUACCUGUCUCUUAAUCUGCAUCUCAUCACAGUAUAUACUUCUAUAAUUUUUUGUCAUGCAUGAAUGCUUCUUUGAGAAUUUAAACAAACCUGAUCAUUGUGACUUUUUACGAUUGGACUUCAAUUUUUAAAUGCUUGCUUGGAAAUUUAAGAAAUGGUGAUGGGAUCUUAAUGCUACUGAGGUGGGAAUAUAGGAGUGAAAAUUUUCAGUCUAAUAUAUGUAUGUGAACAUCAUUCUUCACCAUCAUGGUCUGAACAGGGUAAGUAGUUAUGUUUUUCCUAAUUGAAACCUGAUCUACAUGUGCUUAGAGUUCAAAUUUUGAGCAAAACUAUAUUUUCUGUCUACAUUGUACCAUGUGCGGGACCACUUUCUUUUAGGAAAAGGUAUGUGGAGAAAAAACUUUUGAUAGCUUGUAUCCUGGUUCUUGAGGAUCUUUAAUUUGAAUCAUGGACGGUGGCAUGCGGCUAAUAAUGGGUAUAGGUCAAUUUCUAAAGGGUGAACUGUGCAUGAUUUGAUAAGGAGCGCAGCAACCACUGCCUCCAAAUGAGCUUCCGGCGGUGCUAAAAUAGUUGAUAGAAUUUGCUAGAACAUCUACGUGCGUUUAGUCCACCGUGCACACUAACUAGUGGUGUUAAAAACAAAUUCACUUCUGAUAAUGGUAUCCGCAGUGAAUCUGCAAGAGCUGAUUUUACUA
This is a long non-coding RNA of Brachypodium distachyon (stiff brome), 1905 nucleotides long. RefSeq lists it as uncharacterized. NCBI's taxonomy places the organism in Eukaryota, Viridiplantae, Streptophyta, Magnoliopsida, Poales, Poaceae. The transcript is spliced from 2 exons. The record is from RefSeq and is a predicted model, not a curated record.